RNAcentral lists this ribosomal RNA (482 nucleotides) under uncultured bacterium. RNAcentral's name for it is "bacterial SSU rRNA". It matches the Rfam family "Bacterial small subunit ribosomal RNA", at positions 29 to 526 of the family's 1533-position model. The record is from RNAcentral.
AAUGAACGUUGGCGGCGUGGAUUAGGCAUGCAAGUCGAGCGCUCAUAGCAAUAUGGGAGCGGCGAACGGCGUAGUAAUACGUAGGAACGUACCCUCGGGUCGAGGAUAGCUAUGGGAAACUGUAGGUAAUACUCGAUAACCUCUGCGGAGCAAAGGUGUGAUUCCGCCCGAGGAGCGGCUUACGCGAUAUUAGCUAGUUGGUAGGGUAAUGGCCUACCAAGGCGAUGAUGUCUAGGGGGUGUGAGAGCAUGGCCCCCACGACCGGAACUGAGAUACUGUCCGGACACCUACGGGUGGCUGCAGUCGAGAAUCUUCCGCAAUGGACGAAAGUCUGACGGAGCGACGCCGCGUGCGGGAUGAAGGCCCUUGGGUUGUAAACCGCUGUCAGAGGGGAUGAAAUCUUCGGAGGUACUCCUCCGAAGUUGACAGAGCCUCAAAGGAAGCACGGGCUAAGUACGUGCCAGCAGCCGCGGUAAUGUCAC